CGCCUGGGGAGUACGGCCGCAAGGUUAAAACUCAAAUGAAUUGACGGGGGCCCGCACAAGCGGUGGAGCAUGUGGUUUAAUUCGAAGCAACGCGAAGAACCUUACCUACUCUUGACAUCCAGAGAACCUUUUAGAGAUAGAAGGGUGCCUUCGGGAACUCUGAGACAGGUGCUGCAUGGCUGUCGUCAGCUCGUGUUGCGAAAUGUUGGGUUAAGUCCCGCAACGAGCGCAACCCUUAUCCUUGUUUGCCAGCACUUCGGGUGGGAACUCCAGGGAGACUGCCGGUGAUAAACCGGAGGAAGGUGGGGACGACGUCAAGUCGUCAUGGCCCUUACGAGUAGGGCUACACACGUGCCACAAUGGCAUAUACAGAGGGCUGCCAACUCGCGAGGGUGAGCGAAUCCCAUAAAGUAUGUCGUAGUCCGGAUUGGAGUCUGCAACUCGACUCCAUGAAGUCGGAAUCGCUAGUAAUCGUGGAUCAGAAUGCCACGGUGAAUACGUUCCCGGGCCUUGAACACACCGCCCGUC
This 528-nucleotide ribosomal RNA is filed under the name uncultured Vibrionaceae bacterium. Its description in RNAcentral is "bacterial SSU rRNA". It matches the Rfam family "Bacterial small subunit ribosomal RNA", at positions 870 to 1398 of the family's 1533-position model. Lineage: Bacteria; Pseudomonadati; Pseudomonadota; Gammaproteobacteria; Vibrionales; Vibrionaceae. The record is from RNAcentral.